Molecule: ribosomal RNA, 594 nt
Filed under: Triticum aestivum (bread wheat)
Lineage: Eukaryota; Viridiplantae; Streptophyta; Magnoliopsida; Poales; Poaceae
Description: partial small subunit ribosomal RNA
Source: RNAcentral
AUGUCGGCGCUCCCUAUCAAAAAGGAAGACCUCUUUAUUGCUCCAGCGGUACAACAUCCAGAUGACGAUGACUCGGGCAGUCUUGACUCUGACAAACCUCUCUCUUCGAAGGUGCAAGCCCUGUUGGAGCUACUGAAGCGUUCGUGGAAGGAAGACCCUUCAUCAAAGUCUGUCGUGUGUUCCCAAUUCCCGAAGAUGUUGAUUCUGCUCGAAGGGCCACUGAAAAGAGCAGGCUUCAAAAUACUACGUCUUGAUGGCACCAUGAGCGUGAAAAAGAGGUCAGACGUUAUUAAGCAAUUUGCAGUCGUCGGCCCCGAUGCCCCAGCCAUACUGUUGGCCGGCCUGAAGGCUACAGGAGCUGGUGCGAACCUAACAGUGGCCUCGACGGUGCACCUGUUUGACCCCUGGUGGAACCCCGCGAUGGAGGAGCAGGCCAUGGACCGGGCAGAAGAAAGCGGUGAAAGUGGUGUGGCUUAUCGUGAAGAACAGCAUCGAGGAGAGGGUCCUGGAGCUCCAGGAGAGGAAGAAGCGGCUGAUCAGCGGCGCGUUCAGGAAGAAAGGUGGCACCAAGGAGGACAAGGAGACGCGCCUUGA